Molecule: long non-coding RNA, 1619 nt
Organism: Parus major (Great Tit)
Lineage: Eukaryota; Metazoa; Chordata; Aves; Passeriformes; Paridae
Source: Ensembl
UGGCACAUUUGGUUUUUUAUGCUUUUUACUUGUUUGAAAAAAAAAUCAACAGAAAAACCUCUGUGUCUUAUAAUACAUAAAAAGUCUAUUUGCUUUAAAGAAAAAACACAUCUCAAUUUGUUCCCAUUUUUUCUCCUACUCAGUCUUUAAACAACUUCAGCUCUAUUAUAUUGGAAACUACAGUAAUUAUAAGGUUUAAUACUUCCAUUAUAUUUUGAGUUAUUUUAUUUUAUACCUGAACAGGAGUUGAAGUCUUUAAAAAUAACUAAACUUUGCACUUGUAGCUACAGGUGGAUUUCUGGAGGAGGUGAAUGUUGCACAAGAUAAAAUGCAGUAAAGGCUAUUUCAUCAACACAAACAAAUCCUCCCUGUAAAAGUUCAGAAUUUUUGAAGGCAUGGAUAUAUUCUUUCCAAUAUACAUGACCAAAACAAUUAUGUCAAAAAAAAACCAUUUAAAUCUGCAUUCUAGUUGAUGGAAAGUUUGUUGGUUUUUUUUUAAUAUAGAUUUUAUUUUAAUUUUAAUAAUUUCUACGAAGGGUAUUUGGGACCUGAAAAUAAUGACACUGUAUAGAAUAAGUUACCUUUUCUUUAUAUGACCAUUUAAUUAAUGUGGUUUGUUCUGUCAAAUAGGAAAAAAAAAUCCCUGUGCACUGGAAUAUAAUCUCAAGACAUUGGAAUUGAAUUUUCUGGACCUUGGGAGAUAAGUGAUUAACCACAAAGCACUCAACAGACACUUGGUUGUCUACACAAAACAUUUUCCAGAAAAGCCUGUUCUAUUUUCACUCUUGGCAGGGCAAAACCAUGUUACUGCAGGCUUUAACAUAGUUUUUUUUGUGCCAUUUCUGCCUUCUACAUUUUUAAAGGUGUCAAGAUCAGCGGUGAUCACCCACUGCAGCACAUCACAACGUGCUCACUUCAAAACAAACUUGGUUCAGAUACUCAGACAAGAGGGUCAACAUAAACAGAACAGUCUAAGAACACAGUGAGAAGAAUUGUUCUACCCAAAGCUAAAAUAACCCUCAGUUCCUAUAAUUAUUUCAUUUUUGUUCAGUACUAACACAACUUCAGUUAGAAAAUGGCCGGAAAAAUGAACAGAGAGACACUUUACACUGAAUUAUAUGUUGUAUCUUAUCUUUAAAGUAAUAUAACUCAAAAUAACACAAGAUUUUGGCACAUUAACUGCACAAAACAUUUAACAUCCUCGUGCUGUAAAAUUUUCAUUUAGGCGCUUAAUUCAGUUUGAAAUGUUUAUUAAAAUAUUUCAAUCGUAACUUUUUUUGUGGACUGUCAUAGCUCUACUAACAUUUAUCCUCCUGGAUAAUUAAAUUUGGAUAAAGUAAUUUAGACUCCUAAAAGUUCCAAAUGUCCAAGCUGAUUAUAUGAGCAUAUAUCUAUAUGCAAGGCUUUCGUUAUAAGGAAUCAUUUGUCUUCAGAAGAGAUUUCAAAUCUACUAAAACUGUUCUAUUUUUCCUGUCAUUUACAAUUUCCUGCUGAACACUGAUGGAUAAUCACCAGAGGAAUGAUUAGCAUGAGCUAAUUUACUGAAAUGUCUUUAUAUGUUCUUUACAGAGUAAAAAGUAGACAAUAAAUGACUUUCAUGUGCAUUUCUCUUUAGAAAC